AUUGAACGCUGGCGGCAGGCCUAACACAUGCAAGUCGAGCGAGCGGCGGACGGGUGAGUCAUGUCUGGGAAACUGCCUGAUGGCGGGGGCUAACUACUGGAACCGGUAGCUAAUACCGCAUACCAUCAGAUGUGCCCAGAUGGGAUUGGCUAGUAGGUUGGGUAACGGCUCACCUAGGCGACGAUCCCUGGCUGUGCUUAGAGGAUGACCAGCCACACUGGAACGUGGACACGGUCCAGACUCCUACGGGAGGCAGCAGUGGGGAAUAUUGCACAAUGGGCGCAAGCCGGAGGCAGCCAUGCCGCGUGUGUGAAGAAGGCCUUCGGGUUGUAAAGCACUUUCAGCGGGGAGGCGUUACCCGCAGAAGAAGCACCGGCUAACUCCGUGCCAGCAGCCGCGGUAAUUC
This 406-nucleotide ribosomal RNA is filed under the name uncultured bacterium. RNAcentral's name for it is "partial 16S ribosomal RNA". It matches the Rfam family "Bacterial small subunit ribosomal RNA", at positions 30 to 526 of the family's 1533-position model. The record is from RNAcentral.